Molecule: ribosomal RNA, 495 nt
Filed under: uncultured bacterium
Lineage: Bacteria
Description: partial 16S ribosomal RNA
Rfam family: Bacterial small subunit ribosomal RNA
Source: RNAcentral
GACGAACGCUGGCGGCGUGCCUAAUACAUGCAAGUGGAACGCUGAAGGAGGAGCUUGCUUCUCUGGAUGAGUUGCGAACGGGUGAGUAACGCGUAGGUAACCUGCCUGGUAGCGGGGGAUAACUAUUGGAAACGAUAGCUAAUACCGCAUAAGAGUAGAUGUUGCAUGACAUUUGCUUAAAAGGUGCAAUUGCAUCACUACCAGAUGGACCUGCGUUGUAUUAGCUAGUUGGUGAGGUAACGGCUCACCAAGGCAACGAUACAUAGCCGACCUGAGAGGGUGAUCGGCCACACUGGGACUGGGACACGGCCCAGACUCCUACGGGAGGCAGCAGUAGGGAAUCUUCGGCAAUGGACGGAAGUCUGACCGAGCAACGCCGCGGGAGUGAAGAAGGUUUUCGGAUCGUAAAGCUCUGUUGUAAGAGAAGAACGAGUGUGAGAGUGGAAAGUUCACACUGUGACGGUAUCUUACCAGAAAGGGACGGCUAACUACGUG